CAGCUUGCUGGGUGGAUUAGUGGCGAACGGGUGAGUAACACGUGAGUAACCUGCCCUUAACUCUGGGAUAAGCCUGGGAAACUGGGUCUAAUACCGGAUAGGAGCGUCCACCGCAUGGUGGGUGUUGGAAAGAUUUAUCGGUUUUGGAUGGACUCGCGGCCUAUCAGCUUGUUGGUGAGGUAAUGGCUCACCAAGGCGACGACGGGUAGCCGGCCUGAGAGGGUGACCGGCCACACUGGGACUGAGACACGGCCCAGACUCCUACGGGAGGCAGCAGUGGGGAAUAUUGCACAAUGGGCGCAAGCCUGAUGCAGCGACGCCGCGUGAGGGAUGACGGCCUUCGGGUUGUAAACCUCUUUCAGUAGGGAAGAAGCGAAAGUGACGGUACCUGCAGAAGAAGCACCGGCUAACUACGUGCCAGCAGCCGCGGUAAUACGUAGGGUGCGAGCGUUAUCCGGAAUUAUUGGGCGUAAAGAGCUCGUAGGCGGUUUGUCGCGUCUGUCGUGAAAGUCCGGGGCUUAACCCCGGAUCUGCGGUGGGUACGGGCAGACUAGAGUGCAGUAGGGGAGACUGGAAUUCCUGGUGUAGCGGUGGAAUGCGCAGAUAUCAGGAGGAACACCGAUGGCGAAGGCAGGUCUCUGGGCUGUAACUGACGCUGAGGAGCGAAAGCAUGGGGAGCGAACAGGAUUAGAUACCCUGGUAGUCCAUGCCGUAAACGUUGGGCACUAGGUGUGGGGACCAUUCCACGGUUUCCGCGCCGCAGCUAACGCAUUAAGUGCCCCGCCUGGGGAGUACGGCCGCAAGGCUAAAACUCAAAGGAAUUGACGGGGGCCCGCACAAGCGGCGGAGCAUGCGGAUUAAUUCGAUGCAACGCGAAGAACCUUACCAAGGCUUGACAUGUUCUCGAUCGCCGUAGAGAUACGGUUUCCCCUUUGGGGCGGGUUCACAGGUGGUGCAUGGUUGUCGUCAGCUCGUGUCGUGAGAUGUUGGGUUAAGUCCCGCAACGAGCGCAACCCUCGUUCCAUGUUGCCAGCACGUAAUGGUGGGGACUCAUGGGAGACUGCCGGGGUCAACUCGGAGGAAGGUGAGGACGACGUCAAAUCAUCAUGCCCCUUAUGUCUUGGGCUUCACGCAUGCUACAAUGGCCGGUACAAUGGGUUGCGAUACUGUGAGGUGGAGCUAAUCCCAAAAAGCCGGUCUCAGUUCGGAUUGGGGUCUGCAACUCGACCCCAUGAAGUCGGAG
This 1243-nucleotide ribosomal RNA is filed under the name Microbacterium sp. 3376O2. Its description in RNAcentral is "bacterial SSU rRNA". It matches the Rfam family "Bacterial small subunit ribosomal RNA", at positions 76 to 1331 of the family's 1533-position model. Lineage: Bacteria; Bacillati; Actinomycetota; Actinomycetes; Micrococcales; Microbacteriaceae. The record is from RNAcentral.